CCUACGGGAGGCUGCAGUGAGGAAUAUUGGUCAAUGGCCGUAAGGCUGAACCAGCCAAGUCGCGUGAAGGAAGAAGGAUCUAUGGUUUGUAAACUUCUUUUAUAGGGGAAUAAAGGUAUCCACGUGUGGAUAUUUGCAUGUACCCUAUGAAUAAGCAUAGGCUAACUCCGUGCCAGCAGCCGCGGUAAUACGGAGGAUGCGAGCGUUAUCCGGAUUUAUUGGGUUUAAAGGGUGCGUAGGUUGUUUGUUAAGUCAGCGGUGAAAGUUUGUGGCUCAACCAUAAAAUUGCCGUUGAUACUGGAAGACUUGAGUGUGUUUGAGGUAGGCAGAAUGCGUGGUGUAGCGGUGAAAGGCAUAGAUAUCACGCAGAACUCCGAUUGCGAAGGCAGCUUACUAAGCAAUAACUGACACUGAAGCACGAAAGCGUGGGGAGCAAACAGGAUUAGAUACCCUGGUAGUC
This 460-nucleotide ribosomal RNA is filed under the name uncultured bacterium. RNAcentral describes it as "partial 16S ribosomal RNA". It matches the Rfam family "Bacterial small subunit ribosomal RNA", at positions 338 to 795 of the family's 1533-position model. The record is from RNAcentral.